RNAcentral lists this unclassified non-coding RNA (248 nucleotides) under uncultured Mortierella. RNAcentral's name for it is "sequence contains ITS2". Lineage: Eukaryota; Fungi; Mortierellomycota; Mortierellomycetes; Mortierellales; Mortierellaceae. The record is from RNAcentral.
AACACCUCAAAAGAUUUUCUUUAUUGAAAUGAUUUUGGACUUGAGCAAUCCCAACACCAAUCUUUACGGAUCGGCGGAGGGUUGCUUGAAAUGCAGGUGCAGCUGGACAUUCUCCUGAGCUAAAAGCAUAUCUAUUUAGUCCCGUCAAACGGAUUAUUACUUUUGCUGCAGCUAACAUAAAGGGAGUUUGACCAUUUUGGCUGACUGAUGCAGGAUUUCACAAGGGUCGGUAAAACGAUUUUUGUAAA